GAAGUCUGGUGCCAGCAGCCGCGGUAAUUCCAGCUCCAAUAGCGUAUAUUAAAGUUGUUGCAGUUAAAAAGCUCGUAGUUGAAUUUCGGGACUAAUAUGUCGGUCGUACUUUGUACGUACUAGCAUUAUUGGUUUCUCCCUUCUGACGAACCACGAUGUCAUUAAUUUGGUGUCAUGGGAAAUCAGGACUGUACUUGAAAAAAUUAGAGUGUUUAAAGCAAGCUCGCGCUUGAAUACAUUAGCAUGGAAUAAUGAAAUAGGACGUUUGAUUCUAAUUUUGUUGGUUUCUAGGAUCGACGUAAUGAUUAAUAGGGAUAGUUGGGGGCAUUAGUAUUCAAUUGUCAGAGGUGAAAUUCUUGGAUUUAUUGAAGACUAACUACUGCGAAAGCAUUUGCCAAGGAUGUUUUCAUUAAUCAAGAACGAAAGUUAGGGGAUCGAAGACGAUCAGAUACCGUCGUAGUCUUAACCAUAAACUAUGCCGACUAGGGAUCGGAUGAUGUUAAUUUUUUAAUGACUCAUUCGGCGCCUUACG
Molecule: ribosomal RNA, 532 nt
Filed under: uncultured Glomus
Lineage: Eukaryota; Fungi; Glomeromycota; Glomeromycetes; Glomerales; Glomeraceae
Description: SSU rRNA
Rfam family: Eukaryotic small subunit ribosomal RNA
Source: RNAcentral